RNAcentral lists this long non-coding RNA (2192 nucleotides) under Cavia porcellus (domestic guinea pig). RNAcentral describes it as "lncRNA (ENSCPOG00000033857.1)". Lineage: Eukaryota; Metazoa; Chordata; Mammalia; Rodentia; Caviidae. The record is from RNAcentral.
GGAGUGGAGUUCCUGACUGAGAACCUCGCUCGGCUUAGGUUGCAAUGGUGCCUCAGUUUCCCCAGGUUCCUGGAGGCGGACUCAGGAUGCACAGCAGGACCCCUACACCCUUCCGGUGGAGGACAGCCUUUCUGCUCAGGUGGCCUCCUCUGAUGCAGUGUGGGCGAUCCACCAGUCGGUCUGGUGCCUGCACUUGUACACGUCUCUCGUACCCCAGCUGAAGGACACGUGUGAGCUGCGGCCCCACUCCACACGGACCUGACCACACACAGCACAUCUCUGGCGAGUGGCAUCCUCGCCCACCCAGUGCUACCGACGCCGGCUCUGCUCACCUGACUGUGGCCUGUGUUCAGGCUCCUGUGGGAGAAGCACCAGCUGCGGGCUUACCUCUUGGGGUCUCCUUCCCCUGGGAUCCGUCUGGACUCAGCCUGGGACACUGCCCUUGGCCGUUUCCCAGCUUCCGCAGUUGUCCUGAACGCACAGUUUGCCAAUUUGUCUUCAUGGAGAGAAACAGAAGUCUCACCGGGCAUUUCUUUCUCCCAGGCUCACGUCCGCAGAGCACAGGGGACCGGCUCAGGGGCCUUCCUGUCGGUUUACACGAGGUCGAGGUCAGGCUAAGGGAAGUGCUUCAGCACUGCGUGACCUCGGGGAGCCCCACCUACUGUAGAGUCCUGCGGCGCCUGUUUCUUCCCAUGGCUUGUUUCCUUCCUCGGAUUCAUUUGAAAGUUAUAUUUGUAAUCCCCUUGAGACGUGAUUGGAAUCCCGGCAAGUUAAUUCCAAUCCACCACCUCCAAUACAACCCACGGCGAGAGUAAAGACACCAAGACAGAUUCCAACUUAAGAACAGCCAAGGGGUCCUGAGUCCAAUCUCCGUGAGGGUGUGCAGAGAGGCCCUGAUCCUAGGCCUCUCCCAGCAUUCCUUAUCUUGUGAAGAAGGGGCGUGGCUCCAGGAUGAGUGACAGUGAGGAUGGUGGGAAUCACACAGCACUAUGCGAGGAACAGGAGGCUGUCAGACUGACUUCAAAGAUUACCCAUCAGUACUUCAGCCGGCCUUACUUGCAUUGCUUAGAGCCAGUUGAAGAGAAGAAAUACCAGCGCCAGCCCUGUACAUAUCAGUAUAUGGAAAUAAGACUCCAUUUAACCAGUGUUGUAGCAGCUGUUCUGCAAGCAAGCAGAGGAGCUUGUGUCGUCUUCUACAACCAUCACUGUUGGAUUCCAUCACUGAUGAAGCUGACAUCUGCUGGCAUUCCCUGCUGUGCAUUUGCUCCAGUUCCCUUUGCAGAUGGCGAGUGUUUCUGUGGGGACUUUGAGACUCAUGCAAACACCAUUCCUCAUAGACACUACCGAAGGUAGGGUCUGUGUAUCACCCCUCCCUCCCCUUCCUGCCCUCCUUCUCCCCCUUCCUUCCCCUCCCGCCCUCCCUUUGUAUCACCUGGUUUUCUUCCCACUUGGCGAAGCCAGUCUUCAGGUACCUUCUCAGAAGGGACGUCUCGGGGACGCAGGUCUGAGCCUGCGUGACAGUGUCUCCCUUGGGAAGAAGGAGGCACCACUCCUUCUUGAAUGGCUACUUGGGUUAGUUACACAGCUCUAGAGUAGGAGACUCUUUGCAGCCUUUGUUUUACUGUCUCCCAGUGUCCUGUGCUGCUGUUGAAAAGCUGCUGUUAUUCCAACUUAUAAAAUCUCCUCUGAAAUAUUUUAAAACUUGUUUCUAGAAAGUUUUUUGGUGGGAAAAGUGUCUCCCAUUUUGGUGCUGGGCACUCUCUGACCUGGUCAGUCUGGAAAAGCUUGCUCCUCAGUGGUUGCAGUGUGGGUUCUUUUUCCUUUAGUAAUCUAUUCUCUGAAGAAAAUGUGGCAUAUGUACAUUGUGGAGUACUAGUCAGCCAUAAAAAAGACAAAUUUGAGUCAUGUAGGAAAGUGGGUGCACCUUGAGACCAUAGGUUAAAUAGUAUGUGAGUUUUCUUAUACAGUAAGAGAAACCCAAAGUAUAAAUAAUUUAAGUAACAAAAUAAAAGACAGAUGGUAGGAAACAGGAAGAGAGACCUUUUGGAGAAGAGAAAGGUAUCUAGGGAUGGAGAGAUAGGGGAGGGAAGUAAAAAAACUGAGAUGUGAUACAUAUGUGUACCAACUUCCCACUGAUGAAUGUGUUCACUUUGUACCAUAAUCAUGUACUAAUAAAAAUUGUUAAACUUAAC